RNAcentral lists this long non-coding RNA (908 nucleotides) under Gallus gallus (chicken). Lineage: Eukaryota; Metazoa; Chordata; Aves; Galliformes; Phasianidae. The record is from RNAcentral.
AUAUUUUAAUUUGCAGAUCAGGUAUGUGGAGUGCUCUAGUAGAUGUAAGGAAAUAUGCGGUAUGGUACACGCUGACAAUACCUUUCCCAUGCCAAACCAUACUUUUUCUUACAGUGAUGUUCAUCACGAGCUUCUCGAUGAACAAGCAAGCAGAUGAAAUAAAUCACAUAGAAAUAUGGCAAAAUGUGAUUGAAACCACAGGGUAGGGACCACGCAAGUGCCAUGAUGAUAUCACCAAGGUAAUUGGGGUGACGAACAAACCCCCACCAACCUGUGACAAGAAGCCCUUUUCCAGUCGCAGUGGGUAUAACUUUCAGAUAGGACAAUUUGGGAUCUGCUGGAUUCCUUCGGAAAUUGUUUUUCUGAGAAUUUGCACUACGGAAUAUGUAAUAACCAAUACAGUUCAGAAUAGUAAUUGCAGCUGCAACCGGCCAAGAAAUUGCAAUAGGGUGUCCAACUAAAUAGAAGGCCUGUAGGCUGUAGACAAAUGGAACCCACACCAAAUCUCCAAAGGCUAGCAUGAAUCCAAAUCCAUCAUGGGUAAUGUCCAUUGUAGUCAAAACAGCUUCCUCAUUCCAAAGAGCAUCCACCACAUAUAGAAGCUGAAAGCUGUUCACGAGUAUCAUUGACAGCGAUGGCAUACUUUGAUUGUGUAUCUUCAUCUCAGCCAAGAGCAUUGCCAAGUUUAUGACAACCCAGCCAAUUAAUCCUGGACGUAACUCACAGAAGUAUUUGAGGUCAAAACUGCCAAUACGAGGGUUCAAUUCGUGUCCAGUAAAGAAGUCAUAAACAAGAUAUCCAGAAUUUCCACCUGGCGCUAGGUCUUCCUCAGGUGCCUUCAAGGAUCGAAUGUACAAAUAGAUGCUCAAUGCCAUAGAAAAAGCUGCAGCUGACACUGCAAACUGCAC